GCGAAAGCAGGUCAUAGUGAUCCGGUGGUUCUGAAUGGAAGGGCCAUCGCUCAACGGAUAAAAGGUACUCCGGGGAUAACAGGCUGAUACCGCCCAAGAGUUCAUAUCGACGGCGGUGUUUGGCACCUCGAUGUCGGCUCAUCACAUCCUGGGGCUGAAGUAGGUCCCAAGGGUAUGGCUGUUCGCCAUUUAAAGUGGUACGCGAGCUGGGUUUAGAACGUCGUGAGACAGUUCGGUCCCUAUCUGCCGUGGGCGCUGGAGAACUGAGGGGGGCUGCUCCUAGUACGAGAGGACCGGAGUGGACGCAUCACUGGUGUUCGGGUUGUCAUGCCAAUGGCACUGCCCGGUAGCUAAAUGCGGAAGAGAUAAGUGCUGAAAGCAUCUAAGCACGAAACUUGCCCCGAGAUGAGUUCUCCCUGAGACUUAGAGUCUCCUGAAGGAACGUUGAAGACGACGACGUUGAUAGGCCGGGUGUGUAAGCGCAGCGAUGCGUUGAGCUAACCGGUACUAAUGAACCGUGAGGCUUAACCUUACAACGCCGAAG
This 544-nucleotide ribosomal RNA is filed under the name Escherichia coli. Its description in RNAcentral is "partial 23S ribosomal RNA". It matches the Rfam family "Bacterial large subunit ribosomal RNA", at positions 2399 to 2925 of the family's 2925-position model. The record is from RNAcentral. Lineage: Bacteria; Pseudomonadati; Pseudomonadota; Gammaproteobacteria; Enterobacterales; Enterobacteriaceae. RNAcentral also lists the same sequence under 1 other name.